This 253-nucleotide ribosomal RNA is filed under the name uncultured bacterium. Its description in RNAcentral is "partial 16S ribosomal RNA". It matches the Rfam family "Bacterial small subunit ribosomal RNA", at positions 524 to 776 of the family's 1533-position model. The record is from RNAcentral.
UACGUAGGGGGCUAGCUUUGUCCGGAUUUAUUGGGCGUAAAGAGCGUGUAGGCGGCCAGGUAGGUCUGCUGUGAAAACUCGAGGCUCAACCUCGAGAUGUCGGCGGAAACCAUCUGGCUAGAGUCCGGAAGAGGAGAGUGGAAUUCCUGGUGUAGCGGUGAAAUGCGCAGAUAUCAGGAAGAACACCCGUGGCGAAGGCGGCUCUCUGGGACGGUACUGACGCUGAGACGCGAAAGCGUGGGGAGCGAACAGG